This 111-nucleotide microRNA precursor is filed under the name Gossypium raimondii (Peruvian cotton). RNAcentral's name for it is "miR7492j stem-loop (gra-MIR7492j)". Lineage: Eukaryota; Viridiplantae; Streptophyta; Magnoliopsida; Malvales; Malvaceae. The record is from miRBase by way of RNAcentral.
CGCUAAAGGUCGUGAUCUUUAGCGGCGUUUGUGGGAAAAGCGCCGCUAAAGGUCGCGGUCUAUACCGGCGUUUGUGGGGAAAACGCCGCUAAAGGUCGCGGUCUAUAGCGG